Molecule: transfer RNA, 92 nt
Filed under: Bdellovibrio sp. 28-41-41
Lineage: Bacteria; Pseudomonadati; Bdellovibrionota; Bdellovibrionia; Bdellovibrionales; Pseudobdellovibrionaceae
Also listed under: 1 other name
Description: tRNA-Leu
Rfam family: tRNA
About the family: Transfer RNA (tRNA) molecules are approximately 80 nucleotides in length. Their secondary structure includes four short double-helical elements and three loops (D, anti-codon, and T loops).
Source: RNAcentral
GCCCCGGUGGUGAAACUGGUAGACACACAGGACUUAAAAUCCUGGGCUUCGGUCAAACGGGCGUGCCAGUUCGAUUCUGGCCCGGGGCACCA